CGCACAUUGCGCCCGAUAGUAUUCUAACGGGCAUGCCUGUUCGAGCGUCAUUUCAACCCUCAAGCACAGCUUGGCGUUGGGGAUCGGCCACCGCUGUCUAUUCAGCAGGCCGGCCCCGAAAUCCAGUGGCGGUCUCGCCGUAGCUUCCUCUGCGUAGUAGCACACCUCGCAUCGGGACGCGGCGCGGCCAUGCCGUUAAACCCCCAUCUUUCUGAAGGUUGACCUCGGAUCAGGUAGGAAUACCCGCUGAACUUAA
RNAcentral lists this unclassified non-coding RNA (256 nucleotides) under Chaetopsina fulva. Its description in RNAcentral is "partial contains 5.8S ribosomal RNA, internal transcribed spacer 2, and large subunit ribosomal RNA". The record is from RNAcentral. Lineage: Eukaryota; Fungi; Ascomycota; Sordariomycetes; Hypocreales; Nectriaceae.